CCUACGGGCGGCAGCAGUGAGGAAUAUUGGUCAAUGGACGAGAGUCUGAACCAGCCAAGUAGCGUGAAGGAUGACUGCCUAUGGGUUGUAAACUUCUUUUAUAUGGGAAUAAAAUGUUCCACGGUUGGGAUUUUUUAUGUACCAUAUGAAUAAAGAUCGGCUAACUCCUUGCCAGCAGCAGCGGUAAUACGGAGGAUCCGAGCGUUAUCCGGAUUUUUUGGGUUUAACGGGUGCGCAGGCGGAGGUGCAAGUCAGCGGUAAAAUUGCGGGUCUCAAACCCGUACUGCCGUUGAAACUGCAUCCCUUGAGUGCGCGAGAAGUAUGCGGAAUGCGUGGUGUAGCGGUGAAAUGCAUAGAUAUCACGCAGAACUCCGAUUGCGAAGGCAGCAUACCGGCGCGCAACUGACGCUCAUGCACGAAAGCGUGGGUAUCGAACAGGAUUAGAUACCCUUGUGGUC
Molecule: ribosomal RNA, 458 nt
Filed under: uncultured bacterium
Lineage: Bacteria
Description: partial 16S ribosomal RNA
Rfam family: Bacterial small subunit ribosomal RNA
Source: RNAcentral